Molecule: non-coding RNA, 31 nt
Filed under: Homo sapiens (human)
Lineage: Eukaryota; Metazoa; Chordata; Mammalia; Primates; Hominidae
Source: RNAcentral
UGGCACUCAUCCCUGGCCUGUGUCUACAGGA